This 467-nucleotide ribosomal RNA is filed under the name uncultured bacterium. RNAcentral describes it as "partial 16S ribosomal RNA". It matches the Rfam family "Bacterial small subunit ribosomal RNA", at positions 28 to 506 of the family's 1533-position model. The record is from RNAcentral.
GACGAACGCUGGCGGCGUGCUUAACACAUGCAAGUCGAACGGAAAGGCCCUGCUUUUGUGGGGUGCUCGAGUGGCGAACGGGUGAGUAACACGUGAGUAACCUGCCCUUGACUUUGGGAUAACUUCAGGAAACUGGGGCUAAUACCGGAUAGGAGCUCCUGCUGCAUGGUGGGGGUUGGAAAGUUUCGGCGGUUGGGGAUGGACUCGCGGCUUAUCAGCUUGUUGGUGGGGUAGUGGCUUACCAAGGCUUUGACGGGUAGCCGGCCUGAGAGGGUGACCGGCCACAUUGGGACUGAGAUACGGCUCAGACUCCUACGGGAGGCAACAGUGGGGAAUAUUGCACAAUGGGCGGAAGCCUGAUGCAGCAACGCCGCGUGCGGGAUGACGGCCUUCGGGUUGUAAACCGCUUUCGCCUGUGACGAAGCGUGAGUGACGGUAAUGGGUAAAGAAGCACCGGCUAACUACGU